RNAcentral lists this ribosomal RNA (429 nucleotides) under Pseudomonadota bacterium. Its description in RNAcentral is "Proteobacteria bacterium partial 16S ribosomal RNA". It matches the Rfam family "Bacterial small subunit ribosomal RNA", at positions 355 to 776 of the family's 1533-position model. Lineage: Bacteria; Pseudomonadati; Pseudomonadota. The record is from RNAcentral.
UGGGGACUAUUGGACAAUGGGCGAAAGCCUGAUCCAGCCAUGCCGCGUGUGUGAAGAAGGUCUUCGGAUUGUAAAGCACUUUAAGUUGGGAGGAAGGGCAGUAAGCGAAUACCUUGCUGUUUUGACGUUACCGACAGAAUAAGCACCGGCUAACUCUGUGCCAGCAGCCGCGGUAAUACAGAGGGUGCAAGCGUUAAUCGGAAUUACUGGGCGUAAAGCGCGCGUAGGUGGUUCGUUAAGUUGAAUGUGAAAGCCCCGGGCUCAACCUGGGAACUGCAUCAAAAACUGGCGAGCUAGAGUAGGGCAGAGAGUGGUGGAAUUUCCUGUGUAGCGGUGAAAUGCGUAGAUAUAGGAAGGAACGCCAGUGGCGAAGGCGACCACCUGGGCUCAUACUGACACUGAGGUGCGAAAGCGUGGGGAGCAAACAGG